AUUGAACGCUGGCGGCAGGCCUAACACAUGCAAGUCGAGCGGCAGCGGAAAGUAGCUUGCUACUUUGCCGGCGAGCGGCGGACGGGUGAGUAAUGUCUGGGAAACUGCCUGCUGGAGGGGGAUAACUACUGGAAACGGUAGCUAAUACCGCAUAACGUCGCAAGACCAACGAGGGGGACCUUCGGGCCUCUUGCCAUCAGAUGUGCCCAGAUGGGAUUAGCUAGUAGGUGGGGUAACGGCUCACCUAGGCGACGAUCCCUAGCUGGUCUGAGAGGAUGACCAGCCACACUGGAACUGAGACACGGUCCAGACUCCUACGGGAGGCAGCAGUGGGGAAUAUUGCACAAUGGGCGCAAGCCUGAUGCAGCCAUGCCGCGUGUAUGAAGAAGGCCUUCGGGUUGUAAAGUACUUUCAGCGGGGAGGAAGGUGUUGAGGUUAAUAACCUCAGCAAUUGACGUUACCCGCAGAAGAAGCACCGGCUAACUCCGUGCCAGCAGCCGCCGUAA
Molecule: ribosomal RNA, 506 nt
Filed under: uncultured bacterium
Lineage: Bacteria
Description: partial 16S ribosomal RNA
Rfam family: Bacterial small subunit ribosomal RNA
Source: RNAcentral